CUUCUACUGCUGAAUUACCAUGGAGUGUACUGGUGCCUCUGACCUCUUUGUCAUGAAAUUAGAGGUACUUAACUUAUUAGCAUUUGAGAAGCUGGAGGUACACAAAAGCUUCAACAGCGGAUGUUGAGAUGUCAUCAUCAAAAUUUGAAGAGACACUGUAUAUAACUUCUGUGGGCCAUUAUGUAUUGCAUUCAUCAGUCCAUUAAGAAGGUACAGGUGCCAUUGUGAAAUUGAUAGUUAUGGCAGAACCAUUUGUUCUGGGACAAGAUUGUCUUGCCUGUCUACAUUACUUUUGUGAUCAAUUUAUUUUUCUUUCCAUUUCCAGUUUUGUUAUGCUCAAACAAAAGUGAUGGAGGACUUGAAGGCCACUCACCCAUCAAUAGUUUUCAUUAGAACUUCCAUUGCCAACAAUACAGCAGAAAUUACAAGAGAGACUGAGCAUCUUUAGCAUGGAUAAUGAACUGCUGCAAUCCUUCAAACAGGACAGAACAGUGCUGUGAAGAUGGAUGCUUCAAAAUGUCCUAUGAAAUAAUGGUGGAAAUUGCAGAUAAGUCAAUCCCACAGUUGAGGAGGAGUAGUGAGAGAGCAGCAUGGUAGGCGCCAGCCAAGGUCAGCCCACUGUGGUGUUGAAGACACAGGUGCAGCCGGGAUAAGAAACUGAAUCAGCUUUGAAGAUGUUCAUCUUUCUAUCCACUGUAUUACUAAGGUAUUCUCAGGCAGUAUGUAAAAUCCCAUUUUAUAAUAUGGUUCUAAUUUAUUAAUGAAUUCAGCGGAGAUGUAAAAUAGUUAAAUACAUUUCUUUUAAAAUUAUUUUGAAAACUGUUCCCCUUUGUGCACAAUUGGAAAUAUAUAUCUUCAUGGGUAUGUAUGUGUACAUUUAAUCUGUGUCUUUAUUGAUACAUCUACUGUGUAUGUGCAUACAUAUGUACAUACACACCUAAAAGAGGUCUUUCUAGUUCUCACUGAAACUAAACAUCAUGCAGAGUUAACCAAUAGUGACAUGCUUUUCUUGUUUAAAGAAAAACUCAGCCGAUAAGGAUUCUGG
RNAcentral lists this long non-coding RNA (1045 nucleotides) under Anas platyrhynchos platyrhynchos (common mallard). RNAcentral's name for it is "lncRNA (ENSAPLG00000029864.1)". Lineage: Eukaryota; Metazoa; Chordata; Aves; Anseriformes; Anatidae. The record is from RNAcentral.